This 626-nucleotide ribosomal RNA is filed under the name uncultured bacterium. RNAcentral's name for it is "bacterial SSU rRNA". It matches the Rfam family "Bacterial small subunit ribosomal RNA", at positions 1 to 595 of the family's 1533-position model. The record is from RNAcentral.
UCAGCCGGUCUCGCGAAUGCCUCUAGAUUUAAGUUUGAUCAUGGCUCAGAUCGAACGCUUGACGGCAGGCCUAACACAUGCAAGUCGAGCGGUAACACAGGGAGCUUGCUCCUGGGUGACGAGCGGCGGACGGGUGAGUAAUGUCUGGGAAACUGCCUGAUGGAGGGGGAUAACUACUGGAAACGGUAGCUAAUACCGCAUAACGUCUUCGGACCAAAGUGGGGGACCUUCGGGCCUCAUGCCAUCAGAUGUGCCCAGAUGGGAUUAGCUAGUAGGUGGGGUAACGGCUCACCUAGGCGACGAUCCCUAGCUGGUCUGAGAGGAUGACCAGCCACACUGGAACUGAGACUCGGUCCAGACUCCUACGGGAGGCAGCAGCGGGGAAUAUUGCACAAUGGGCGCAAGCCUGAUGCAGCCAUGCCGCGUGUAUGAAGAAGGCCUUCGGGUUGUAAAGUACUUUCAGCGAGGAGGAAGGCAUUAAGGUUAAUAACCUUGGUGAUUGACGUUACUCGCAGAAGAAGCACCGGCUAACUCCGUGCCAGCAGCCGCGGUAAUACGGAGGGUGCAAGCGUUAAUCGGAAUUACUGGGCGUAAAGCGCACGCAGGCGGUCUGUCAAGUCGGAUGU